This 534-nucleotide small RNA is filed under the name Pan troglodytes (chimpanzee). Its description in RNAcentral is "processed transcript". Lineage: Eukaryota; Metazoa; Chordata; Mammalia; Primates; Hominidae. The record is from RNAcentral.
UUUCCCCCUUGCAUUUGAUCCUCAUCUUCCCCAGGCCAUUCAGGGUGGUGGGAAGACUGGCCUGGUACCUGGGUGGGGGUAAGUCAGGGGUGCUGCUAUUCCCCCAGCUACCUGGACCAGCCCUGCCUUGAGACCGUCAACCGCAUCAAGUUGUACAGUGAGUCCCUGGCCCGGUAUGGCAAGAGCCCGUAUUUAUACCCGCUCUACGGCUUGGGCGAGCUGCCCCAGGGUUUUGCAAGAUUGAGUGCCAUCUAUGGGGGGACAUAUAUGCUGAACAAACCUGUGGAUGACAUCAUCAUGGAGAACGGCAAGGUGGUGGGCGUGAAGUCUGAGGGAGAGGUGAGCCCUUCCCGUGCAUGCAGUGCAGUCCCAUGGUUGAGGCGGGGCUUGGUCACUUUCUCUGUGCUGUCGAGUCUCCUGCUGCACAGCCCCAAGGAUCUUGGAGCUGGGAACUGGGGGUCCAGAAGUCUUCAGAAUCGUGACUGUGGGUGAGAGGUCUCUUUCAGAGGCCACAUGCCAUGUCUGUGGUGCAGA